GAUUCACGAAAGAAUACCACUGCGCAGAAGGCAUAUUUUAGGUCCCUUUGGAGGUGCGAGUCUUUUCUUCGUGAAUGUACGUGCGCAGACGGCCGCCAUUUGUGGUAUUCUUUCGUGAAUCGUACUGUAC
Molecule: long non-coding RNA, 130 nt
Organism: Colias croceus (clouded yellow)
Lineage: Eukaryota; Metazoa; Arthropoda; Insecta; Lepidoptera; Pieridae
Exons: 2
Source: RefSeq, a predicted model, not a curated record